This 240-nucleotide unclassified non-coding RNA is filed under the name soil metagenome. Its description in RNAcentral is "partial contains 5.8S ribosomal RNA, internal transcribed spacer 2, and large subunit ribosomal RNA". The record is from RNAcentral.
AACCAUAGAAACCUGCGGAGUACCUGCGGAGGGAUCAUUACACAAUACAAUAUGAAGGCUGUCCGCAGCUGGAGUAUUUUAUUACCCUUGUCUUUUGCGCACUUGUUGUUUCCUGGGCGGGUUCGCUCGCCACCAGGACCACCAAAUAAACCUUUUUUAUGCAGUUGCAAUCAGCGUCAGUACAAACAAUGUAAAUCAUUUACAACUUUCAACAACGGAUCUCAGAUCGGAAGAGCACAC